CAACGAUCCAUCUAUCGCGCGAACGAAGCGACGCGACGUUAUCGGUGCACCUAGCUAAACAACUCCCUUAAAAUAUACGUUCCAUCGAUCGCGAACUAACUGCGCACUAGCGUCGCGACGUAACACUCUCGCAAUCUGAUUGCCCUGCUAAUGGGCCGGACACUUCUUCGGGAAGCCACAGAAGGCAAUUGACGCGUGUAAAUAACAGGUCGCGACGCAACCAUUCGACGAAUUUCAACAGCGAGAAACGACAGCGUAGUUUAGCUGCUAAUUACCUGUAACAACACGAGUUUCGCCUCGAUUUACUCGAUAUUCCUCGGGGAUUCGCGAUAGCCAAUUUCCUACGUCAACUACCUUGACUAGCCUUCGCGGAGGAAUACGGAAAUCGGUAUACAUUGGAACGAAAACAGAUAGCACGAGGAAAGUUUUUCACCUUGGAUACAUCAAAUAUUCUACGUCGUAUGUUGUUCGCGUUACAAGUAGGCUAAUAUUAAACGACAUCGCUGAUGAUUCUGGAACUCUGUGUUCUAGCCGUCAAUUAAACGACUACGGAAAGAAAAUUAGGAUGAAAAUUGCAAAGACAGUUGGCACCGGUGGUCUUGACUUUUUGACUAAUGCGUCGCGACGAUACCAUACGAUAUUAGCUGUUUCCGCUGACUAGAGAGGGUUUACUAAUCUACCUAUCCUCUUGAUCGCUCGUGUUUCAACGAGGAUUAGCUUCAGGAACCAAGUUCAUUAACCUGUGCAGCAUUUCAUUCUACCGGAGAUCAUCAAUCUUCUGAAAUGGCUUCUUUUCUUUGCUUUCUUCGUACCAAAUUAUCUGUACUCUUCUUAUACACGCGUAUAAGAAGAAAGAAAGAAAGAAACAAAUUAACGAGAGAACGAUUCCGAAUACCGGUAAGGCGACGUUAAUUAUCGUAGAAUCGUGUUAAGAAAUUAGCAACUCGAUUCUACUAUUAUUUCAUUCUGUCACAGAUACAAAUAUUUGAUUUUGAGUUUCCACUUGGCGUCGUUAAUGCAACGUUAAAUUAACGCGUUGAUUGCCACGGGAGUUUCCGGCGACCAGUACCAUGAAUUUAAUAUCAACGGGCAAACGGACGAAAAGAAGUGUUUGCUAGUAUUAGUGUUAUAUUAAUUACAUUCAAGGCUGCGAGUGGAAAGUUUAAAUCGAAAACGGAAUAAUUGCGAUUAUAACGUAUCGUGGCACACGCUAAUAGUCGUUUUACCUAAUAGCCAUCGCACCGAAGUGCCGAUCAAGAGUUUCGAUCUUACACCUGUUAUAGAUUCAUACGAUUAAAAAGUAAGUAGUCUACGAGGACAUUAUAUGUAUAAGAAAAAAUAUGUAGGUAGAUUUUAGAUUUUAAUUGGUAGAUUCAUCGUUGCACCUGCAACGAAAAUUGAAGCCGUCAAAAGACCGUAGUACGCGUACCACGAACGACGCACGCUAUUAUACAUUUGAACUGCUUUUGAAAAUUGAAGCGACUAACGUUUUGAAGCCACCGAUAGAAUGUCGGACAGCAAAGAUACCCGGUUUAUGUAAUGCCAUAGAUACAUAUACAUACUUAGGUAGGUAUAGGAGUGCGACGGUGUACUCGUACGUGCACACUCGCACCGACACGCUUCGUUCGGUGUCCGUUGGACUAUACGCGCGCUCGUGUACUCGCACACGGACGAGAGCUAGCGUCGCGGUCUCGCGAGAACUGCGCCGCGCCGCGACCUACUUGUCUAGGCCACUGUGUCUACGUUUCUAUAUACGCGGCUUAUGUUUUGCGUGAAAUUCGCGUCCGUUGCGAGCGAUGCGGAAUUGCUCGCUCGCCUGGACUCGCGCACUUUCCUGCCAGAUUCCAAGGAAUCAUCGAUCUUCGACGAGACGGAUAUGUACGUCUCGCGAGCCAGCUCGACCCGUCUGUCCGACUCGCUUCGUGAUCGGUAGAUCGUGAGCGAUCUUUUCCAGUCGACAAUUGCUCGCUACAACUUUCUCGUUUCAAGUCGAGCAAUUUAUUAACGUUUCUUUAUUUCCGAAACGAUUGAAGCAUCUCUUCAAUUUCAUCGUACGAAGGGUGAUUGUCCAACAACGAUCGAAAUCGUCGUCGGAAAGCUCGCUUCAUCGAAACCUUGGUCGUUCGUUAAAUCUACCGGAAAUCCCAACGAUCGUGUCCUCUGAUCGUCGACCGAAUGGCUGUACGUUCUUCGAAACGUCCUUCUGGCCCGUGUAUAUUCUUACAUCAAGAAAUUAAUUCGGCCAAACUUUUUAUCGAAGCUAUCGAGAACCCGGUGGGAUCUGGAAAUUGACGGUCGAACGAAAAUAUGUACGAGGAAAAGUGGUCGCGUUAGGAGAGCUGCGUCUAGACGAAAGACGACCUAGACGAACAAUCGGCGUCGCGAGAAGAUCUUGACCUGACGGACAUCGUCCUGACAGUCCGUUUGCUGUUUUCAAACGAAAUCUCUCUAAAUGUCUCUAAAAUUCAUGGAAACAAGGUCAAUGUAACUGAGCGAAUUCCUGUAAGGUCGCGAGCAUUCCUAGACCGGAAGACGAGCACGUUCCGAUUCCGUGGUGUUCCUUUAUUCGUGUCCCGUGGACGAGGCGACUCCGUGGCCAUCGAGCUCGGUCUAAACAACAAUUAACUACAGUUACGAGCGCGCCGGAUUCCAAGGAAUCUGGAACGCGACUGUAAAAAGUAAAGUAAGCGGUGUUUCUCUCUCCUCUCUCGGCCAGUCUCCUUUCCCCGAUCCUCCUCCCUUUCUCCUGCUCUCCCUGUUCCUACCACGACCACCUUCUAACCGCCACGAUUCGUGUCGACGAUGCAUCGGAGAAGGAGGCAUCUUUUUUUCAACGAGAGGAAGAAUCUCUCAGAAUUUGAGUAAACGCAUGCACGAUAUAUAGGUCUAGGUUAAAUCAGGUUAGGUCGCAGUUGAUCUAACUCGGACCGUUGAUCGGAAAAAAAUGGUCGGUGAAACAAAAUCGAGUUCAAAGAGAAAUUUUUAAAUACGAUACGACGUACCGUUGCCGCGAUCUCCGACUAUUAAUAAUUGAAUGUCGUGUAAGAAAAAUAAGCGUCUCUCUAAAUUGCCAAAACGUUGAAACAGACAGCAAGGGAGAGAGAGAGACCCUCGUGUUCCGGUGUCUCUCGGCAGUGGGUCGAGUGCAGCAUACAGUCGAGCAUUGGUCGCGACCCGAUCCCCGAUGCCUCGAUCCGCGAGGCCGCGCUUAGGGACAGUGGGUCAAGUAGGUCGGUCCCGCACUGCUCAGACAGCCGACAGGCGCGCGCUCUGAGGUUACGUAACCCCUCGGAGGGAGAAAGUCUCCCCUCCUGGCCCCGUCCCGUUCCGUCCCGUCCCGUUCCGACCCGGUAUAGCGGCGUCCUUCCAACGUAUCCCCGGUUCAACCGUUUGCCACCUCCACGACCACGAUCUGCGACUCGACUUGCCACGAUCUGUGUUUACAAACAAAUCCUCCCACCCACCUUUCCAGCGCACGAUCGUCCGCCAACAGCGCCGCCUGGAUCCCCCUGAAUCGACCAUCGUCGACCUGGUCGACGUAGACACCGCCGUUGGAGCACACCAGACUGCAUUGCGCAAAAUUGCACCACCACCGGUUCAACAAAUUUUCGUUAUCGCCUCCGGUCCCUUUUCCGGAAAUCUUUCCCCCCGAAAUUUCGCCAAGAACAGGGUCGAAGAUUUCGAAAAUUAAAUUUAGAUUCGCCCUUUCGAGAUCAGACGACGAUGGAGGAACAAAAGUACCAUUCUUGGCUCGAUUGCCUCGAUAUUUCACGUAAAACAUAGGAAAUAUUUAACUCCGGAAUCGACUCUUAUCUAAUUCGACGUCGUUAGAAUACUAAUACUUGCUCGCGCUAGUCGAUAUUUAUCUCGCGGAGUAAUCCCGAAAGUAGCCAGUUUUUCGUUACGAACGAAGACUCUCGAAGCUUUUUGAUUUCGCUCUUUCGCUAUACCUUUCUCGACACGAUUGCCCUACGUGAGCCGAUUUCGAGAGCAGAAACUUUGGCGAGCAAACGACUGCUUUCUUUCGUCGCGACGCGUUUCUCCAAACGGAGGAAUGGAGCUGAAUCGACGAUGGAAACCUUCUAACGCGACCUACGUCUAGUCUAGUGUGGCUUGUAAACAAUGACACGACUUAACUUUACGUAAUGUCGACCUCGUCGAACACGUCGUUUCUUUUUUCCCCUCUUUUUUUAUUUCUUCAUACUCUAUGGAUACAGGUCGUUCGCGAAUCGUGUUCGUCCGACAGGAAAAAUUAGAGAACUCGUUCGAGCGUGGCCCAUUUGAUCCGUUUCAUCGGAGCGCACUCGGUGCAAUUCGGGUCGCCACGCUCGACCACUGCACUCGACCCACUCGACAUCCGAACGAGCCACAUCCGAUCUCUCUGCCGCGAAUUCUUAAAUAAACGUGUCACCCGUUCAAAAUCUAUGAAAAUUAAGCGCUUUCGUAGCAGACUUUGAAUUAACGGUCGUUUUCGUUUUCGUUUUCGUUUUCGUUUCUAUAAUAAUCUCUCUGUAGAGAUAUAAUUCAGUAGAAUUAUAAGUACCUAAGGAUAUUGGGAAACUUUUGUCGAAUAGGAAGCUCGGUUAUCCGUUAAUCUUGGCUUACGUGGAAUCGUCGAAUUUUAAAGUGACUCAUUCCGUCCAUGAACG
RNAcentral lists this long non-coding RNA (4649 nucleotides) under Megachile rotundata (alfalfa leafcutting bee). RNAcentral's name for it is "uncharacterized LOC105664192". The record is from RNAcentral. Lineage: Eukaryota; Metazoa; Arthropoda; Insecta; Hymenoptera; Megachilidae.